RNAcentral lists this ribosomal RNA (462 nucleotides) under uncultured bacterium. Its description in RNAcentral is "bacterial SSU rRNA". It matches the Rfam family "Bacterial small subunit ribosomal RNA", at positions 28 to 507 of the family's 1533-position model. The record is from RNAcentral.
GAUGAACGCUGGCGGCGUGCAUAACACAUUCAAGUCGAACGGUGACGGAAACUUCGGUUUCCUGAUCAGUGGCGGACGGGUGAGUAACGCGUGAGCAACCUGCCCUAUAUUGCGGGAUAACACCGGAAACAGUUGCUAAUACCGCAUGACGUAUUCGGAUCGCAUGUUCUGAAUACCAAAGAAUUUUGAUAUAGGAUGGGCUCGCGUCCGAUUAGGCAGUUGGUGGGGUAACGGCCCACCAAACCGACGAUCGGUAGCCGGACUGAGAGGUUGGCCGGCCACAUUGGGACUGAGACACGGCCCAGACUCCUACGGGAGGCAGCAGUGGGGAAUAUUGGGCAAUGGGCGCAAGCCUGACCCAGCAACGCCGCGUGAAGGAAGAAGGCUUUCGGGUUGUAAACUUCUUUUACCAGGGACGAAGACGUGACGGUACCUGGAGAAAAAGCCACGGCUAACUACGUG